RNAcentral lists this ribosomal RNA (247 nucleotides) under uncultured bacterium. RNAcentral's name for it is "partial 16S ribosomal RNA". It matches the Rfam family "Bacterial small subunit ribosomal RNA", at positions 523 to 769 of the family's 1533-position model. The record is from RNAcentral.
AUACGUAGGGUGCAAGCGUUAAUCGGAAUUACUGGGCGUAAAGCGUGCGCAGGCGGCUUUGUAAGACGGAUGUGAAAGCCCCGGGCUCAACCUGGGAAGUGCAUUCGUGACUGCAAGGCUAGAGUGUGUCAGAGGGAGGUGGAAUUCCGCGUGUAGCAGUGAAAUGCGUAGAGAUGUGGAGGAACACCGAUGGCGAAGGCAGCCCCCUGGGUUGACACUGACGCUCAUGCACGAAAGCGUGGGUAGC